UAUAAAGUUUGUUUGAUGUUUUCGCCGCGACGAUUCGAAAUGAAACCAAGAAAUUAGCAGAAGUGAAGGUCACCGGAGAGGUGAAUGAGGAUUUUACCACUGGAACUAGAGAGCUUGGCUCUGGCUGGUCUACUACAGCAAGGAAUGUGCCAGGGGCCAAUCUGAUGAACAUGUGGCAGAAGAUUUGGCAAUGGGUGAAGAAACACUGAGAUUGAAAUGCAACCACAGGUGUAGGCUUCACCCAAACUUUUCAGACGGAUGCGAGAUACAAAGUUACCCAAGUAUAAAUGGUUGAAGGUUUUGGAGAGCCAGACAAGAAGGCAGGAAAUGUGAUGUCACUUUUACUUCAAUAAACAUGAACAGCAGCAGGAGCAACAACAGCAUCAGCAGCCGAAACCUCAACUGCAAUAAGAGAUGCAGCAACCGCACCGACAACAUCAAGAGCAACAGCAAAAAUACCUACAUGUAUUACAGCAGAAAUGCAACAAUCACAUUGGCAACAUCAACAGCAGCAGGAGCUCCAACAACCAUGCAGGGAACAUCGCGCGCAACAUAAAUAACUUCAUCAAGAGAUGCAACAACCACAGUGGUAAACAUCAACAGCAGUAGCGACAACGACAGUAGAAACAAAGCCAAUGUCAAGGAUUAAGCAAUCAUACAGGAAACAACACAAGCGGCAACAUCAAUAAAUGCUUCAGGGGAUGCAACAGCCAUACUUGUAAACAGCAGCAGUAGCAGCGAUGACAAGAGCAACCACACAGGCAACACCUUGAGCAACAUCAGUAGCAAUGCACCAGCAAUGAAACAAUCACACCAACAACACCAA
RNAcentral lists this long non-coding RNA (826 nucleotides) under Lytechinus variegatus (green sea urchin). RNAcentral's name for it is "uncharacterized LOC121412389, transcript variant X2". Lineage: Eukaryota; Metazoa; Echinodermata; Echinoidea; Temnopleuroida; Toxopneustidae. The record is from RNAcentral.